CGAAACAGAAUCCAUCUCUCCAUGCUCACUCUACGCGCCGGCGCCGCCGUGUAGACGCCGCUGGCGCCUGCACCUCCUAUUUGCCUCAACUGCCUCGUCCUCCUAGACACCGCCGCCUCCUCGACGUAUCACACGCCCAUAGGAGAAGGGCCGCCGCCGCCACCUCCACCUCCCACGCCGACAAGGACGACGGAGCCGCCGCUGAAUCCAUCACUCCCUGCUCCCCAACUCUACGGGCCGGCGCCGCCGCAUAAAGGCCGCCGCCUGCACCUCCUAGACGCUGCCACUGCCUCCUCCUCCUAGAGGCCGCCGCCUCCUCAACAUCCCACGCGCCCAUAGGAGGAGGGACGGCACCGCCGCCACCUCCCACGCUGACAAGGACGACGGAGCCGCCGCCGCCGCCACCGCCACCUCCCUAUAGCAGCAUGAAUCUUACUCUUAGACUCACGACAACGAUGAGGCCGGGGAUAAUGGUGAGCAUAUUGUGCCGAGAACAUUUGGUCCUUUGCUUGCAUAUAUUUCGUCGUCCAAUCAAGCUUUUACUGGUAAAGUCCUUGAUACAUUACCGAUAAAACCAAGAGGUGCUCCAUGUAAGAAGAGGCCUAAGCCAUUCCACGAGAGGUUCAAUUCUAGACAGAAAGGUAUUUAAUAAUGGCUUCCAUCCGCCUAAGUGCAACAUGAUGUGCCACUGUCCGUGAGCAGCAAUGUGCUAUUGGUGUUAUUGCAAUCUGUUGCAAUCCUGUAAUCUCAAACUUCUUAGUUCAUAAACAUGUAAUCGGUACACAAGAUAGGUCAUCUAUGCAGGGAAUAGACGGGUUUAUUAAGCACACAUAUCAUUAUACUGUGUUUUACGUUAAUUGCAAUGUCUGAGCUGCUCACAUUUUGUGAAACCAUCAUCUGUUGAGUAAAGCAUGAGUUGCUAGUCAUCAGUCUCAAGUGUUUGGCUUUGGGGGUGGCAGAACUAAUGGUACUCCUUUUGGCAAUGCUUGUAGUUCUGGUGGUGCUGCCAAUUUACCUUCACAGCAUGAAAAGUAGGAGUUAUGCAGAGCAUCAAUAGCCAUGCUUCUAGUUCUG
This is a non-coding RNA of Lolium perenne, 1074 nucleotides long. The record is from RefSeq and is a predicted model, not a curated record. Lineage: Eukaryota; Viridiplantae; Streptophyta; Magnoliopsida; Poales; Poaceae.